UUCCUACGGGAGGCAGCAGUGGGGAAUAUUGCACAAUGGGCGGAAGCCUGAUGCAGCAACGCCGCGUGCGGGAUGACGGCCUUCGAGUUGUAAACCGCUUUCGCCUGUGACGAAGCGUGAGUGACGGUAAUGGGUAAAGAAGCACCGGCUAACUACGUGCCAGCAGCCGCGGUGAUACGUAGGGUGCGAGCGUUGUCCGGAUUUAUUGGGCGUAAAGGGCUCGUAGGUGGUUGAUCGCGUCGGAAGUGUAAUCUUGGGGCUUAACCCUGAGCGUGCUUUCGAUACGGGUUGACUUGAGGAAGGUAGGGGAGAAUGGAAUUCCUGGUGGAGCGGUGGAAUGCGCAGAUAUCAGGAGGAACACCAGUGGCGAAGGCGGUUCUCUGGGCCUUUCCUGACGCUGAGGAGCGAAAGCGUGGGGAGCGAACAGGCUUAGAUACCCUGGUAGUCCACGCUGUAAACGGUGGGUACUAGGUGUGGGGUCCAUUCCACGGGUUCCGUGCCGUAGCUAACGCUUUAAGUACCCCGCCUGGGGAGUACGGCCGCAAGGCUAAAACUCAAA
RNAcentral lists this ribosomal RNA (559 nucleotides) under uncultured bacterium. RNAcentral's name for it is "bacterial SSU rRNA". It matches the Rfam family "Bacterial small subunit ribosomal RNA", at positions 336 to 905 of the family's 1533-position model. The record is from RNAcentral.